RNAcentral lists this ribosomal RNA (252 nucleotides) under uncultured bacterium. RNAcentral's name for it is "partial 16S ribosomal RNA". It matches the Rfam family "Bacterial small subunit ribosomal RNA", at positions 524 to 776 of the family's 1533-position model. The record is from RNAcentral.
UACGGAGGAUGCGAGCGUUAUCCGGAUUUAUUGGGUUUAAAGGGUGCGUAGGCGGGCUUUUAAGUCAGCGGUAAAAAUUCGGGGCUCAACCCCGUCCGGCCGUUGAAACUGGGGGUCUUGAGUGGGCGAGAAGUAUGCGGAAUGCGUGGUGUAGCGGUGAAAUGCAUAGAUAUCACGCAGAACUCCGAUUGCGAAGGCAGCAUACCGGCGCCCGACUGACGCUGAAGCACGAAAGCGUGGGUAUCGAACAGG